RNAcentral lists this transfer RNA (74 nucleotides) under Ictidomys tridecemlineatus (thirteen-lined ground squirrel). Its description in RNAcentral is "Spermophilus tridecemlineatus (thirteen-lined ground squirrel) tRNA". It matches the Rfam family "tRNA". From Rfam's summary of the family: Transfer RNA (tRNA) molecules are approximately 80 nucleotides in length. Their secondary structure includes four short double-helical elements and three loops (D, anti-codon, and T loops). Further hydrogen bonds mediate the characteristic L-shaped molecular structure. tRNAs have two regions of fundamental functional importance: the anti-codon, which is responsible for specific mRNA codon recognition, and the 3' end, to which the tRNAs corresponding amino acid is attached (by aminoacyl-tRNA synthetases). tRNAs cope with the degeneracy of the genetic code in two manners: having more than one tRNA (with a specific anti-codon) for a particular amino acid; and 'wobble' base-pairing, i.e. permitting non-standard base-pairing at the 3rd anti-codon position. The record is from Rfam by way of RNAcentral. Lineage: Eukaryota; Metazoa; Chordata; Mammalia; Rodentia; Sciuridae.
GGGGCUGUAGCUCAGUGGUAGAGUGCUUGCCUAGCACAUGUAGGGGGCACUGGAUUCCAUCCUCAGCAGCACCA